Molecule: ribosomal RNA, 230 nt
Filed under: uncultured bacterium
Lineage: Bacteria
Description: partial 16S ribosomal RNA
Rfam family: Bacterial small subunit ribosomal RNA
Source: RNAcentral
AAAGCGUGCGCAGGCGGUCUUGUAAGACAGAGGUGAAAUCCCCGGGCUCAACCUGGGAACUGCCUUUGUGACUGCAAGGCUAGAGUACGGCAGAGGGGGAUGGAAUUCCGCGUGUAGCAGUGAAAUGCGUAGAUAUGCGGAGGAACACCGAUGGCGAAGGCAAUCCCCUGGGCCUGUACUGACGCUCAUGCACGAAAGCGUGGGGAGCAAACAGGAUUAGAUACCCCUGU